Molecule: ribosomal RNA, 1235 nt
Filed under: metagenome
Description: bacterial LSU rRNA
Rfam family: Bacterial large subunit ribosomal RNA
Source: RNAcentral
UGAAUACGAGAUGCUACGGCGUCGAAGCAGUCUAUGUCAUACUUCCAAGAAAAGCUUGCACUGUCAUAAACAAAUAAUGCCUGUACCAUAACCGACACAGGUGGGUAGGUAGAGUAUACUAAGGGGCGCGAGAUAACUCUCUCUAAGGAACUCGGCAAAAUGACUCCGUAACUUCGGGAGAAGGAGUGCCUUAUUUAUAAGGUUGCAAUAACAAGAUCCAAGCAACUGUUUACCAAAAACACAGGUCUCCACUAAGUCGUAAGACGAUGUAUGGGGGCUGACGCCUGCCCAGUGCCAGAAGGUUAAAGAAGUUGGUUAGCAUCCGCGAAGCUGAUAACUGAAGCCCUGGUGAACGGCGGCCGUAACGAUAACGGUCCUAAGGUAGCGAAAUUCCUUGUCGGGUAAGUUCCGACCCGCACGAAAGGCGUAAUGAUUUGGAUACUGUCUCGGAGAGGGGCUCGGUGAAAUAGACUUGUCUGUGAAGAUGCGGACUACCUGCACCAGGACAGAAAGACCCUAUGAAGCUUUACUGUAACCUGAAAUUGAAAUUGGACUUUACUUGCGCAGUAUAGGUGGGAGGCGUUGAGAAUAUUCUUGCGGGAUUAUUGGAGCCAUCAGUGAGAUACCACUCUUGUAAUGUUAGAUUUCUAACUUUGUAUCAUUAUCUGGUCAAAGAACAGUUUCAGGCGGGCAGUUUGACUGGGGCGGUCGCCUCCUAAACGGUAACGGAGGCGCACAAAGGUUUCCUCUGAACGGGUAGAAAUCGUAUCUAGAGUGUAAAGGCAUAAGGAAGCUUGACUGUGAGACCUACAAGUCGAGCAGGGACGAAAGUCGGUCUUAGUGAUCUGACGGUGCUGAGUGGAAAGGCCGUCACUCAACGGAUAAAAGUUACUCUAAGGAUAACAGGCUGAUCUCCCCCAAGAGUUCACAUCGACGGGGAGGUUUGGCACCUCGAUGUCGGCUCAUCGCAUCCUGGGGCGGUAGUACGUCCCAAGGGUUGGGCUGUUCGCCCAUGAAAGCGGUACGCGAGCUGGGUUCAGAACGUCGUGAGACAGUUCGGUCCAUAUCCGGUGUAGGCGUUAGAAUAUUGAGAGGAGCCUUCUUUAGUACGAGAGGACCGAGAAGGACAUACCUCUGGUGUACCAGUUAUCGUGCCAACGGUAAACGCUGGGUAGCUAUGUGUGGAGUGGAUAACCGCUGAAAGCAUCUAAGUGGGAAGCCCACCUCAAGAUAAG